CCUCGUACCGGGAUGCUGCGGGAGCGAUCGGCGCGUCGGAAGACCGAGGGUGGCGAUGGAGCUCGGCAGGAGGACCGGGACAAGGAUCGGGGCCAGGACCGGGACCGCGACCGGAGGAGCGAGGCGGCCCCAGGAGCUGGCACUGACCGUGCCGCGGGUCGGGCACAGGCUGCUCCCAGCUCUGCCUGCGGAACUUCGGCAAUUACCGACAGCAGUUCUUUGCCCUGCCAUCCAGAAGGUGCGGCUCAUCUGACACCAGCCAGACGGGGAAGGCCCUGCCUGGGAGGGAAACGGCUACAGGGGAGGAAACCAAGAAAUGCUCCAACCGGAUGGUGCUGCGCGAGUCAAAAGAGGGGCAAGACCGCGGGCAAAUACAGUCAGGAAAUGAGCUUUUAUUCAAUCUCUGCAGGAGCCCUUCGCAGCCACGGGCCGGAGGGAGCGCGGCCGGCU
Pseudopipra pipra is the source of this 450-nucleotide long non-coding RNA. RefSeq lists it as uncharacterized. The record is from RefSeq and is a predicted model, not a curated record. NCBI's taxonomy places the organism in Eukaryota, Metazoa, Chordata, Aves, Passeriformes, Pipridae. The transcript is spliced from 3 exons.